CUUAAAAUGGCUGCCUAUUUAAAUAUCCCAACCCACUUACCCAUAACUCUAUACUUCCUUCCCUCCUCCUAUGCACGCCUCCUAACCCCUGUCAAGAUCCUUUCCCCCUUAGCUGCGCUUUGGCUACAUGGGGCUGCAUUCUAUUUGUCAUACCAGAAAGCCUUUUGCAUGUGGAUUGCAGUUUGAAGGACACACCACGUAACAGAAUAAAGUCUUGCAG
Pelobates cultripes (western spadefoot toad) is the source of this 220-nucleotide non-coding RNA. The record is from the annotation of a GenBank genome assembly. Lineage: Eukaryota; Metazoa; Chordata; Amphibia; Anura; Pelobatidae.